UAGGGAAUCUUCCACAAUGGACGAAAGUCUGAUGGAGCAACGCCGCGUGUGUGAUGAAGGCUUUCGGUCGUGAAGCACUGUUGUAUGGGAAGAACAGCUAGAAUAGGAAAUGAUUUUAGUUUGACGGUACCAUACCAGAAAGGGACGGCUAAAUACGUGCCAG
This 163-nucleotide ribosomal RNA is filed under the name uncultured bacterium. RNAcentral describes it as "partial 16S ribosomal RNA". It matches the Rfam family "Bacterial small subunit ribosomal RNA", at positions 355 to 511 of the family's 1533-position model. The record is from RNAcentral.